Molecule: ribosomal RNA, 306 nt
Filed under: uncultured bacterium
Lineage: Bacteria
Description: bacterial SSU rRNA
Rfam family: Bacterial small subunit ribosomal RNA
Source: RNAcentral
UAGUCCGCACGAGCGCAACCCUCGUCCCGCGUUGCCAUAGAUGGGACUCGCGGGAGACCGCCAGCGACAAGCUGGAGGAAGGCGGGGACGACGUCAAGUCAUCAUGGCCUUUAUGUCCAGGGCUACACACGUGCUACAAUGGGCGGUACAACGGGUCGCGAGGCCGCGAGGCGGAGCCAAUCCCGCAAAGCCGCCCCCAGUUCGGAUUGCAGGCUGCAACUCGCCUGCAUGAAGCCGGAAUCGCUAGUAAUGGCGCAUCAGAACGGCGCCGUGAAUACGUUCCCGGGCCUUGNACACACCGCCCGU